RNAcentral lists this ribosomal RNA (497 nucleotides) under uncultured bacterium. Its description in RNAcentral is "partial 16S ribosomal RNA". It matches the Rfam family "Bacterial small subunit ribosomal RNA", at positions 28 to 507 of the family's 1533-position model. The record is from RNAcentral.
GACGAACGCUGGCGGCGUGCCUAAUACAUGCAAGUAGAACGCUGAAGAGAGGAGCUUGCUCUUCUUGGAUGAGUUGCGAACGGGUGAGUAACGCGUAGGUAACCUGCCUUGUAGCGGGGGAUAACUAUUGGAAACGAUAGCUAAUACCGCAUAACAAUGGAUGACACAUGUCAUUUAUUUGAAAGGGGCAAUUGCUCCACUACAAGAUGGACCUGCGUUGUAUUAGCUAGUAGGUGAGGUAAUGGCUCACCUAGGCGACGAUACAUAGCCGACCUGAGAGGGUGAUCGGCCACACUGGGACUGAGACACGGCCCAGACUCCUACGGGAGGCAGCAGUAGGGAAUCUUCGGCAAUGGGGGCAACCCUGACCGAGCAACGCCGCGUGAGUGAAGAAGGUUUUCGGAUCGUAAAGCUCUGUUGUAAGUCAAGAACGGGUGUGAGAGUGGAGAGUUCACACUGUGACGGUAGCUUACCAGAAAGGGACGGCUAACUACGUG